UCAUUCAACCAAGCCAAAAACGCCAUACUUUGCAUUUACACGGACCCAUUAUCUAACGGAACGGUGACAGUGAAAGCGAUACUAUUCCGAAACUCACAAGAGGUUUCGUAUCAUCUUAAUGGAAAGCACAUUGCACCAAACAGUAUUCCUACUCAUUUUUCAUCAAUGGAAGACAUAUCAAACUUAACAAGGAGUUUUCACGAAAAAAACAUUUGCGUUGGUAUUGUUGGAAGCCAGUUUAAAGAUGGCGAGUUUUCAUUACGGCUCUCCGUAGUUUUUGACGCCAAUGGAGUCAUUCGAUCAGGCUUCUGCAAAAUUCUAAUGGACAAAAAAAAAACGAUGUGUGAAAUGUAGCACUUUAAAAUGUUACCUACAGAAAAGGAUGAAAAGCAGAAAGCCCGAAGAUUCUUUAACACAAUCAGACUCCACAAAAAAAAAAAAAAAUCUGCAUUGACCCAGAAAAAUGAAGAACUGUAUCGUUGUCGGAUGCAAAAGAACAUUUACCAAUGUAGGGCAAAGGAUGCAUCAACUAUAAUUGCCAAAUUGCGUCGUGAGUGUAGGAUAAUGGUCCACAAGGAUUCAAGGAAUGGACUCGACCGUGUAUUAAUGCAUCUAUCUGAAACGGAGAAACAGGUUGUCAAAAUGUUUAUUGCCAAGGCAGCAAUAGAUCCGGCGCAUGGCAAACACCGUCGCACAAUGCGAUUCGAACACUCCUUCCUAAUUCAGUGUGCCAUUCUCAGAAUGAAAAGUCACACAGCAUAUGAUAAUCU
Molecule: long non-coding RNA, 770 nt
Organism: Daphnia magna
Lineage: Eukaryota; Metazoa; Arthropoda; Branchiopoda; Diplostraca; Daphniidae
Exons: 3
Source: RefSeq, a predicted model, not a curated record